Molecule: long non-coding RNA, 2289 nt
Organism: Parus major (Great Tit)
Lineage: Eukaryota; Metazoa; Chordata; Aves; Passeriformes; Paridae
Exons: 2
Source: RefSeq, a predicted model, not a curated record
CGCGGUGGAGCCGGGGGCGCCUCCCGGGGCACCCGCUCCCUGCCGCCCGCGGCGCGGUGCAGGGGACGCUCGGAGCCGGCGGGGUGGGUGCGGUGUCUCUGCCCCCCGUGGCGGGGGACGCCGCAGCGCUGCCAGCUGCAGCAGCAGCACAAGGUACAUCGUUAUAUGCAUGUACAAUUCCGUGGGCUUCCCACCCAUGGAAAUGGAAAAGUGCGAGGCGAAGAAUGAAUUAUCGGGGCGUUUCGAUAGGGUCGUGCUGCUGAGCGCUGAUUCACUUUCCAAAAUGACAAAACCCUGUUCCCGUGCUGUAAGAUACAGAUUUACCUUCUUUUCGCCCCCCCCGCCCCCUUGCCAUUUGAAACAGAAGCCGCCUCAAAACUUGCCCACAAGCCCCCCGCUUUUCCUUCGUGGCAUGGCCGUGUUCCGCAUUUAGCUGCGGUCAGCCCCGGGCUUCUUGGGCGCCGGCGUCCGGCAGCCGCAGCUCUGGGCUGCCUCCGGCUGACCUAUAUCGCUCACCCGUCCCUGAGAUCGGGCUCUCCGUCUCCUUUGACUACCGACCUUCAUGCCGUCUUCCACGGGAUUCCCUCCCUCUGCAACCCUGUCGUAGCUGCCGCCCUCUCCCACAGCUGGCUUGCUGCUCCUGACCUCCACUUCUGGCCCAAUUCCAAAUCUCCUCUGGCAUGUUUCAGAAUUCUCUGCCUACAUUAUUAUUACAUUGGGUUUAAAUCGUGUGCUUUUUUUAAUUCCUAGUUAAUCAUUCAUACUGUCUCAUCUCAGAAUGCUGUGGAACUAGAGCUGAUCCUGUGCUUAUGACGAGUGGUUCUUCCGUUAAGCUGAAUUUGCACACUGUCCCAAAGUAAUCAAGUCAGGAAUCAGAAGAUUUGGCUUCUCUGAGAACUGUGUUUACCUCAAGUCCUACAGGAGGUACUGUGUGUGUUGGUAUUGCUUCCUUUUUUCCCUUUUUUUCCCUCCUUGGUUUGUCUUCACAGGGUUGUUUCCCUUCAUUCCUUUCUAUUUCUGCAUUAGACCAACUAAACACAUGAUACCUAAGACUACACUCACUGUGCCCCCCUGCUCCAUCCCCUGCACUCAACUCUGGCCAAGAUAUAUGGACAGAGAGUUCCUUUUAGCCAAGGGUAAUGAGUCUCAAAGUCUGGAUGAUUAGAAGGAAGGGUUAGGGUUUUACCUGCCUUUUGGGAGAUCAUUUUCAGAUACCAUUCCUAAUCAUACACUCUAGUACAAGACCUGCAGAAGUGAGUCCUCCCUGGAGACUGCAGUGCUAUUCUUUGCUUUAUGGAAGGUGUUUCUGCCCUCCAUUUAUCCUAAAGGGUUAGAACUGACAUUUGGCACUGAAAUUUGUUUAAUUUUUUUUAUUUUUGCUUCAAAUUUUGAUAAAAUUUAACCACUAAGAUAGUCCAGGUUUCUGCUUGAAGCAACAAAAGGGUAGCCAUAAUACUCAGUGGGCAGUCUCUCUGAUGUUGUGGAGUUUAUCUAUAAUGCAGGGGGUGUAGAUGUAUUUGAGCCAGUUCUACUUCUUGGGUUCAGCUGGCUGUGCAAGCGUGGAGCUUGAUGAAGAACAACAGUUCACCAGCCUUUCAGGCUCUGCUUGAUUUUUUUUUUUUUUAUUUCUUCCCUUCACUUCCCCAGGAAAUACUGAGGUUAUGAGAUUUUGUACAAAAUUAUUCCCUGCAAUUGUAACUAGUAACACACAUCUGUGCUUGUCUGGAGGUCUCUCUGCAAUGCCCAGGCUGUGUGUUUUAGGUUUAGGUCAUCCCCAUUCACCACUUACUUAUAUGUCAGGUCUGAGCCAUGAAAUAUAGAAGGUAAAGUUAUUGAUGACUGAAAUUCUUUGUUACACCCAGAUACGUAGGUGACAUAUCCAAAAGGUUGGAUAAGUUUAUGAUCAAUAAGAAAUUCAUGUAACUACAGAGCUGAAGAAGACAACAAGCAAAUGAUGCAAUCUACUAAGCACUGACCAGGGAAGACGAUGCACCUCCACAAAUGUAUUUAGUCUUCAUAGGAGAGUGGUUCCUCUGAAGCCUCUGGUGUUGCCUGCUACUGGAGACAGGGCUCAGUGGAGUAAUUACUUUAGUCAUGAAGACAGAUACUCCAAUGACAUCAGUGGAAAUCCUUUUCAUGGUGCUGAAUUACAGCUUAAGAGCAGCAAUCUCAUGACACACUCCUCCUGAUUCCGCACCUGCGUCGUGACAACUGUAUUGCUUGGUUACAUGAAAACAAUAUCACUGCCUAAGGGGAAGACAAAAUGACAAUAAAUUUAUUUUUAUGAGA